UGACUUACAGUGGCAAGGGACAUCGGCUUUCCCAACGAGCCUGUCGGGGAGGAGUCAGAUGGCUCCGGGUAAGGGAGAACUUCGCAUGAAGUUCAACAGGGAUCCAAAACAGCUGUCUUUUUUCAUCACUAAUAUAAGACACUUUAUGGAAGAUUUUGGGGAGCAAUUCCCCUCGGAAAGUGCAAAAAUCCACACUAUGUAGCAAACCUGAAGGAAGUAGCUGUGGACUGGUUAAUGCAAAUGUAUGAUACCGAUGCCCCUGAACUGGGUUGCCUGGAGACUUUCUGAAGGCUCUCCAAGAGAGGUUUGAGGGUCCUCUGGCGGAGGAGAGGGUGAAAGUUCAACUGAAAAGGAUAUACAGUAGAGUCUCACUUAUCCAAGCCUCGCUUAUCCAAGCCUCUGGAUGAUCCAAGCCAUUUUUGUAGUCAAUGUUUUCAAUAUAUCAUGAUAUUUUGGUGCUAAAUUCGUAAAUACAGUAAUUACAACAUAACAUUACUGCGUAUUGAGCUACUUUUUCUGUCAAAUUUGUUGUAUAACAUGAUGUUUUGGUGCUUAAUUUGUAAAAUCAUAACCUAAUUUGAUGUUUAAUAGGCUUUUCCUUAAUCCCUCCUUAUUAUCCAAGAUAUUCGCUUAUCCAAGCUUCUGCUGGCCCGUUUAGCUUGGAUAUGUGAGACUCUACUGUUCCAGGGAAACAAAACAGUGUCAGAAUACGCCCUGGAAUUCAAAGCAGUGGCUGGAAGGAUUAGGGACUGGUCAGAAACCACCAAACUGGAAUAUUUCAGGGCAGGCCUGCGUCCAGAUGUGCUUGAGUGUGUUUUGCACCGGGGUAACCCUGCGGACUUAGAAACCUGGAUUCAUUUGGCAGGCAAAGUGGAAGUGGAUAAACAGCAAAUGCCUCGCCGACCUAGGGAAAGUGUCAGACUCAAGGCCCCAGCAACAGCAGCAUGGCAUUCCUCCCCUCCACGCAGGGAUCAACAAACCGGGAGAGGAGAGGGGGCCGAGGUGCCUGCUUUUCUUGCGGCCCAUGAGGGGCAUCGAGAGGCAGAGUGUCCGAGAAGAGCAGGAGCGAAAGGAGGGAAGCCUCGCAGCCAAAAUUCACCCCUCCCUCCGCCUAAACUGGCUAAGGGGAAAGCUGCCAUGGCAACCAAAACAGCUUUAGCUCCAGGACAGCUCCCAGCGGAAGAACUGGAGGGAGAAGAAGAAAUCCUGGAACUAUUGGGAAACAACCAAGAUCUGUUUUAGACGCCCGUGAACAGAUCAAACCAGCGAAGGGCAACAGGGGUGAGUUGAAAAGGCUAAAUUGUGACAUUGUAGACAUCUCUACAAAGGAGAAUUAGGGUGAGGUUGUUGAACCCAGAAACAAAGGCCCAUAUAGAGACUGAUGCUAUGCUAGAUUGUGGGUGCACCCGGUGCCUGAUUACCCCUGAACUAGCCAAAAGGUUAGGAGUAAAGCCCAAUCCCUUAAAGACACCGGUAGUCUUCUCUGAAUUAGACAGGAUCCCAGCAAACGGGGCACCAGUAACAGAAAAAACAUGUUUCUUAAGAAUGACAAUGGGCACCCAUGCAGAGACUUUGCAGUUUGUGAUUUCAACGAUGGCAUACCAGCCAGUCAUACUGGGCGUCCCUUGGUUGAGGUGGCAUAAUCCUCAAAUUGACUGGAAAAGGUAAACUCUCACAUUCUGGGAUGGGACUUGCAACUUUGAGAGUUUCCCAAGGCCCAUAAGAGAAUUAAAGCCAGAAGAGGUGCUAGUGGCCACAUCACAAGAUGUGCCAAUGGAGAACAUCCCCAAAGUUUAUCAGGAUUUUGCAGAUGUUUCAGCGAAAGAGAAAGUGACCAAUUCCCCCCCCCCCGCCACAUAGAAAAACUGACUGUGCGAUUGAAAUAGACCCAAACACCAAAUUACCAAAACCAAAACUAUAUGCAAUGUCAGAGCGGGAGAAAAAGGCACUCAGAGAAUUCAUUGACAAAAACCUAAAGAGGGGGUUCAUCGAGUCAUCCCAAUCCCCACUGGCAGCUCCGAUUUUCUUCCAGCCAAAACAGGACGGAUCACAGAGAUAGGUCGUGGAUUAUCGUGGCCUUAACGCGAUAUGCACCACAAAUCAAUAUCCACUCUCGCUAAUGUCCGAGAUGUUAGCACAGUUGGGAGAAGUGCGCAUCUUUACCAAACUGGAUUUGCGAGAGGCCUUUUAUAGGGUUCGAAUCCGGGAUGAAGUCCGUUGGAAAAUGGCUUUUAAUAGUUAUUUGGGUCAGUACCAUUUCAGAACCAUGCAAUUUGUGUUGUCCGGUGGUCCAAAAGUGUUCAUGCAGUUCAUAAAUGAGAUCUUUCAUGAGCUAUUAUAUAAAGGAGUGAUCAUAUACUUGGAUGACAUCCUUAUAUACAAUAGGUCAUUAUCGGAACAUGUUAAAUUGACCCGAAAAGUCCUGCAGAUCUUGAGGGAGAAUCAGCUUUAUGCUAAACUUUCCAAAUGAGAGUUCCACAGAACACAAUUGGACUAUUUGGGGUUUCGGAUCUCUACAAAGGGCAUAGCAAUGGAUCCCGCUAAGGUGCAGGAUGUCUUAGCGUGGGAACCCCCCCCCCCCCCAAGACCCAAAGACAAUUACAGGGGUUCCUGGGGUUUGCCAAUUUCUAUAGACAAUUCAUCAAGGACUUUGCCAAAUUGACUCUACCCUUGACAGACAUACUAAAAACUAAGGGGAAGGGGGAGACUUGCAAGACAAAGACACUGGGCGCUAAGCUGGUCUAGACGUCUGAGUGCCAGAAGGCGUUUGAAGAAUUAAAAAGGAGAUUCAUUAGUCAACCAAUCUUGGUACAUGCCCAGCCAAACAAAUCUUUUGUGGUGCACUGCGAUGCCUCAGAGACAGCCUAUGGAGCGAUCCUGUUGCAGGCCGAUGAAGAGGGUAAUCUAAGACCUUGUGCUUAUCUGUCAAAAAAGUUCACUGAGGCGGAGAAACUGUGGCAUGUGUGGGAGAAGGAAUCCUUUGCAGUGAGAUUGGCCCUAGCCCACUGGCGCCACUUCUUACAAGGAACAGAUGUUCCGUUUGAGGUAUGGACUGAUCAUAAAAAUCUACAGGCUUUACAAACCCCCCAAAGGUUGAAUGCGAAACAACUAUGAUGGGCCCAAUUUUUCAGCUGCUUCAAUUUUAAGUUGAAGUUUUUCCCGGGAAAACAAAAUUGAUUGGCAGAUGCGCUCUCACGCAUGCCCGACGCUGACUAUUUGGCUCUGGGAGAAGUCAGAACUAUGUUCACAAGGGAACAACUGGGAUUGUUAGUGCAAACCCGACCCAAAAUCAAGGACAAACCUCCCCCUAGUGGUCAAAUGCAAGAAUUGUCCCAGGAAUUAAAAUCUUCCGCCAAUACAGACUCUUGGCUUCAGUCCCAUAAAGAUGAAUUGUCACAGGAAGGGGACCUGAGGACUUACGGUUCCAAAUACUAUGUGCCAGAAAGCCUCCGACUCCAAACUCUCUGGCCAUUUUGGACUUACAAAAACUUUAAAGCUGUUAAACAGACAAUUCUGGUGGCCAACCAUAUGCAAAGAUGUAAGGGACUAUUUACAGGAAUGCCCUGUAUGCGCUAAGGCCAAACAGAAGGUGGGCAAGCCCUCCGGUUUGCUGCAAUCCGUAGCCAAUCCCUCAAAACCCUGGACCAAUAUAGCUAUGGACUUUGUUGUAGACUUACCCAAUAGUAACGGGUUCAACACUAUCUAGACUGUAAUUGACCUGUUUUCCAAACAAGCCCACUUCAUCCCCCUUAAGAGACUCCCAACUGCACUUGAGUUGGCCAAAUUGUUUCUGCAACAUGUGUUUCAUUUACACGGAUGCCCUGAGCGAAUUAUAAGUGACAGGAGCUCUCAGUUCACGUCCCAGUUUUGGAAAUCUUUCCUGGGGCUUUUAGGAACUGAGAGGGCCCUAAGCACAGCUUUCCAUCUCGAGACAGACGGAGCCACAUAACGGGUCCAGAAGACCCUUCAGCAGUUUCUCCGUUGCUACAGCACAUACCAACAAGAUCAAUGGGCCUCACUUUUUCCCUUUGCAGAAUACUGCAUUAAUAAUUUGGACCACGCCUCCACUGGAGUCUCACCGUUUAAGGUUGUAGGGGGUAGGGAUUUCCCGCCAUUUCCAGAGUGACUAAAGGACAUGGCGGUACAGAUUCCACCCAGAGUUGUUCUUCCAGGUUGUGUUGCUGACACAAAACCGGGAGACUGGGGGGAGAAGAUUGCUGCCUCUUGGCCUUCGAUUCAGGAUGCACUGCAUUCGGCCAAGAUGGAUUACAAAAAGCAUGCAGAUAAAAAGGGAGCAGCACACCUGGACUUUAAGGUGGGAGAAUUAGUGUACUUGUCAACCAAACACCUGAAAUCCACCCAACCAUCACGGAAACUGAGCCCAAGGUGCAUUGGGCUCUUCCCUAUCUCGGCUGUGAUAAACCCUGUGGCAGUAAGACUGCAGUUACCUCAUAAUUGACACAAAGUACACCCUGUAUUUCAUGUUAGCCUGCUGAAGCUGGCGUGUACCACCCACAAAUGGAAUACGACAGAUUCAGACCUUACUCCCAUCAUGGUGGGGGUGCAUACCCAUUUUGAGAUUAAAGACAUUCUAGACUCCAAGAGGUCUCGUGGGAAAUUGUCCUACUUGGUCCAGUGGACUUCAAAGGCCUUACAUCACGAGUGGGUGUCGGCUGAACGUGUUAAGGCCCCAAGACUGGGUCGUCUUUGCGGAGGGGGGAUUUAUGUCAGGAUGUGAUCACCCAGCAUUCACACUGGUUGAACUAUUCCCAUCCUGCCAAAAGUCAUUGGGGUGGAGAUAACCUAAAUGAUAAGAACCAUCUGGCUAGGAGGAUUGAUUUAUGGCCAUGAUCUCGUUUUCAAGCCUGGGAAAGGACUAUCGACAGACAAGUGUGAACGUGGAAGGGGGGCUGAGGGGAAGUAGUAGCUUGAUAUGCGGAAGUUGAUUAGUCUGGACGGAAGUUGAUUAGUAACAGCUUUGUGCUUGUCUUGGCAAGAAGGUUUUCAAUAAAGUGUUUCCACGGAA
Long non-coding RNA from Anolis carolinensis (green anole), 5026 nucleotides. RefSeq lists it as uncharacterized. The record is from RefSeq and is a predicted model, not a curated record. NCBI's taxonomy places the organism in Eukaryota, Metazoa, Chordata, Lepidosauria, Squamata, Anolidae. The transcript has 2 exons.